This 486-nucleotide ribosomal RNA is filed under the name uncultured bacterium. Its description in RNAcentral is "partial 16S ribosomal RNA". It matches the Rfam family "Bacterial small subunit ribosomal RNA", at positions 28 to 507 of the family's 1533-position model. The record is from RNAcentral.
GAUGAACGCUAGCGGCAGGCUUAACACAUGCAAGUCGAGGGGCAGCGCGGGAUAGCAAUAUCCUGGCGGCGACCGGCGGAAGGGUGCGUAACGCGUGAGCGACAUGCCCGUUGCCCGGGGACAACCGGUGGAAACGCCGACUAAUCCCCGAUGGGAUAUUGUGCCGCAUGGCACGAUAUUGAAAGUUACGGCGGCGACGGAUUGGCUCGCGUCCGAUUAGCUGGUUGGCGGGGUAACGGCCCACCAAGGCUGCGAUCGGUAGGGGUUCUGAGAGGAAGGCCCCCCACAAUGGGACUGAGACACGGCCCAUACUCCUACGGGAGGCAGCAGUGAGGAAUAUUGGACAAUGGGCGGAAGCCUGAACCAGCCAUGCCGCGUGCGGGAAGGAGGCCCUAUGGGCUGUGAACCGCUUUUGCCUGGGGGCAAUAAGGGCGUCGCGCACGUCCGAUGAGAGUACCAGGCGAAUAAGCAGCGGCUAACUCCGUG